AGGGUGUAAACGCUGCAGACUUGGUGUUGGAGGCCCUUUGGGGGCAUUCAGUGCCGGAGAGAAGUUGUUAAGUCUGCUACUUGGGGGAGUACGUCCGCAAGGAUGAAACUUAAAGGAAUUGGCGGGGGGAGCACCGCAACGGGAGGAGCGUGCGGUUUAAUUGGAUUCAACACCGUAAAACUCACCAGGGAAGACUGUUACAUGAAGGCCGAGAUGAAGACUCUGCUAGAUUUUCAGAGAGGUGGUGCAUGGCGUCAGUGACU
This 263-nucleotide ribosomal RNA is filed under the name uncultured archaeon. RNAcentral's name for it is "partial 16S ribosomal RNA". It matches the Rfam family "Archaeal small subunit ribosomal RNA", at positions 748 to 1008 of the family's 1478-position model. The record is from RNAcentral.